ACUAUAUAUAUAUAUAUAUAUAUAUAUAUAUAUAUAUAGAGAGAGAGAGAGAGAGAGAGAGAGAGAGAGAGAGAGAGAGAGAGAGAGAGAGAGAGCAGGACUGCUGUAUAUAUAUAUAUAUAUACAGCAGUCGAUUAUAAAAUUCCAUCAUCGAAAAUGGUUCAGAAGCACGGAGGCCUCGGUGCUUUUAAGCCGUUUUCGAUAAUGGAAUUUUCGAAUCGACGAUCGGCUGCGUUAGACUUGAUCUAGCGUAUUUAAAGUUUCUAGAAAAUAAUUUUUGCGAUUUUUCGAUAUCAUUUACCUAACAAUCGAAAUGAUUCAAAAUCAAUAAUUUUUAACGGCUGAAAAUAAAAAUUCUAGAAAAAGUGGUGAUAUAGCACUAAAAUUUUCGAUCAGAAAUAUUGAUCUUGUUUUAGAUAGUAUAAAGAAUUUUGUAUCAAA
This 441-nucleotide long non-coding RNA is filed under the name Ananas comosus (pineapple). RNAcentral describes it as "long non-coding RNA (ACOM_LNC030443)". Lineage: Eukaryota; Viridiplantae; Streptophyta; Magnoliopsida; Poales; Bromeliaceae. The record is from RNAcentral.